RNAcentral lists this ribosomal RNA (254 nucleotides) under uncultured bacterium. Its description in RNAcentral is "partial 16S ribosomal RNA". It matches the Rfam family "Bacterial small subunit ribosomal RNA", at positions 524 to 776 of the family's 1533-position model. The record is from RNAcentral.
UACGUAGGGUGCGAGCGUUGUCCGGAAUUAUUGGGCGUAAAGAGCUCGUAGGCGGUGUGUUACGUCGGCCGUGAAAACCUGCAGCUUAACUGUGGGCGUGCGGUCGAUACGGGCAUCACUGGAGUUCGGCAGGGGAGACUGGAAUUCCUGGUGUAGCGGUGAAAUGCGCAGAUAUCAGGAGGAACACCGGUGGCGAAGGCGGGUCUCUGGGCCGGUACCGACGCUGAGGAGCGAAAGCGUGGGGAGCGAACAGG